This is a non-coding RNA of Sus scrofa (pig), 4402 nucleotides long. The record is from RefSeq and is a predicted model, not a curated record. NCBI's taxonomy places the organism in Eukaryota, Metazoa, Chordata, Mammalia, Artiodactyla, Suidae.
GGAUCCCAGCUGCAUCUGUGACCUACACCAGAGCUCAGCGGCAAAGCAGGACCCUUAACCCAAUGAGCUGGACCAGGGAUUGAACCUGCAUCACCUGAUUCUCUUUCUUGACUGGUGGAGGCGCACAUCUUGAUCACCCCCCUCUCUGAGGCACUCCUUCUAUCACCCUCCCCAUUCCAUCUUUGCGACUAGGCUAAAGAGAAAGUCUUUCUAGUUCAUUAGUUCUCAAACUUUAGAUGAGACUGAAUCACUUGGACGGCUUGUUGAAAGAGUCUUUUGGGUCCUAAACCCAAAGUUUCUGAUUCAGUAAGUCUAGGAUGAGGCCUAAGAAUUCAGGUAAUGCUCAAACUGCUCAUCUGGGGACCACGUUUUGAAAACGAUUCAGAACUACUCCUUUCAAUCUCUGCUUCCCAGGACAGAUUUAAUGGUGGUUACAUGGUAAAGGUUUCAUGUUAAUAGUUACAAGGAAACAUUAAAGAGAUUACAUAACAUUACCAGGUCUUGUUCUUAGACGCUACAUAGUAAAGGAAAGGCCACCCACAUCCUCCCCAGGGCAAGGCUAGUCCAUACUUUACACAUGUAAUCCAGGCAGAACUAUAGUUUUCCCUUCUGUAUAAGGGGAGGUUCAAGGACUGAAUGAAAUUAAGCCUCUUAAGUGACACCUCUAUAAAUGAUGAUUAGCUUAAUUUCACCCGUAGAACAUCCGUAGUCGGCCAACCAUUCAGAUCAGAUGAUCACAUCCUUCCCGCCCUUUAAGGGGCGGGGUGAAAAGAGAGAGGUAACGACGCCUGCGCAGUGCAUAAGGUGGUUCCAGGUGUGGUCCUUGCGGCACCCCUGCAGCCAGGUGAAGCUCUGCGGAGCAGAGGGCGGAGACAGAGCAGCAGGUGGGCGUUUGCUUCCGGCCACGUGGCCAUGUUCACUGCCAAUGGGAAAUCUUGACGUCACCCCAGCUUCCUCACCCUGGCAACGGGCGGGUGACUACUUCCGGUGCUGUGAGGGCUCGGGGCUGACGCGGGGCAGUUCCUCUCCUGCAAUUGCUUUUGGAUGGAAGUAUGCUCUUUUCCCAAUAGAAGAUGGUAAUCUUGGAGAAUGACCAUGGAGAAGGGGAUGAGUUCUGGAGAAGGGCUGCCUUCCAGAUCAUCUCAGGUUUCGGCUGUUAAAAUAACAGCCAAAGAGUUGGAAACAAAACAGGCCCAUAAAGAGAAGCGAGGGGGCUUUGUGUUGGUGCAUGCAGGUGCAGGUUAUCAUUCUGAAUCCAAAGCCAAGGAAUAUAAACAUGUAUGCAAACGAGCUUGUCAAAAGGCAAUUGAAAAGCUACAGGCUGGCGCUCUUGCGACAGAUGCAGUGACAGCAGCUCUGGUGGAGCUUGAGGAUUCUCCUUUUACGAAUGCAGGAAUGGGAUCUAAUCUAAAUCUCUUGGGUGAAAUUGAGUGUGAUGCCAGCAUAAUGGAUGGAAAAUCCUUGAAUUUUGGAGCUGUUGGAGCACUGAGUGGAAUCAAGAACCCAGUCUCAGUUGCAAACAGACUCUUGUGUGAAGGGCAGAAGGGCAAGCUCUCGGCUGGCCGAAUUCCUCCCUGCUUUUUAGUUGGAGAAGGAGCCUACAGAUGGGCAGUAGAUCAUGGAAUACCCUCUUGCCCUCCUAACAUCAUGACCACAAGAUUCAGUUUAGCUGCAUUUAAAAGAAACAAGAGGAAACUAGAGCUGGCAGAAAGGGUGGAAACAGAUUUCAUUCAACUAAAGAAAAGAAGACAAUCAAGUGAAAAGGAGAACGACACAGGCACUUUGGAUACGGUGGGCGCUGUGGUUGUGGACCACGAAGGGAACGUGGCUGCUGCUGUCUCCAGUGGAGGCUUGGCCUUGAAACAUCCAGGGAGAGUUGGGCAGGCUGCUCUUUAUGGAUGUGGCUGCUGGGCUGAAAAUACUGGAGCUCAUAAUCCCUACUCCACAGCUGUGAGUACCUCAGAGUUUCUCUAUGGUGUACUGAAGGAUGGACCUGUUUUUCUUCAUCUUCUUUGGGCCUCUGAUGUGGGGAGCAUCUUGUGCGCACCAUACUGGCUAGAGAAUGUUCACAUGCUUUACAAGCCGAAGAUGCUCACCAAGCUCUGUUGGAGACUAUGCAAAACAAGUUCAUCAGUUCACCUUUCCUGGCCAGCGAAGAUGGUGUGCUUGGGGGAGUGAUUGUUCUCCGAUCCUGCAGGUGUUCUGCCGAGCCUAACUCCCCGCAAAAUAAGCAGACACUUCUAGUGGAAUUCCUGUGGAGCCACACGACGGAGAGCAUGUGUGUUGGAUAUAUGUCCGCCCAGGAUGGGAAGGCCAAGGUAAGUGGAAAAACGGGGGCAUAACCUUGAAAACCUUGCAGCCACUGCCUGAAUCUCUUUAACUGGCCAAGUGGACACGAUGGAAUUUUUUUCAGCCUCUCUUGAGCAGUAGCGCUGUGAUCUUUAUGAGAAUCUGAUAAAGAAUCCCAAAGAAAAAUAGCAGAUCCUUUUUUGCUUUUGAUGAUGGAGCAGGGGAGAUUAGGAAAGAUUAGGAAAAACCUUUUUUUUCUUCUUCUUCUUCCAUCUUGUCCUUCUUGGUGCAUUGUGAAUAAAUGGGAAAGAAGAAACUGGGGGCUGGGAAGAGAGUGGGCGUGGCGCUGCCAGCCCGCUAGGGCUGGGUGACUUUGCAGGGACUGUUGGAAGAGCGGAAGGAAACCGAGGCACAGUUAGCUGAGUACCCGAGUCACGUGCUGCGUGUGUGAGAGCAGAAGUGCCUGGCGUGCUUGCAAGGACUGCGUGUUCUGGCACCGCGUCCUCCUGCCAGAGUCAGAGGUCUAUGCCCCACGCCUUAGCGCCCUCUCUCGGCGAGUCAUAGCAGUCUCAUAGAACAUUCACACCCCUCCCCUUGAGCUGCUUGGUUUCCCUGUACUCAGGAGGGGUGAGCCUGGGAGUGAAAAACAUAAGUCGUGGGUUUAUUUUAUACUGGCCUCAUGUUCUUCUUGUCCAUAAAAUUUUUAGAAACAGCUGCGGCAUGUGAUGUUGACUUGGCAUUAAAGUUCCUCAAUUACAAAGCUGUGAAGUUGGGCAGCCUCUCUCUCUUUUAUUUUACUUUUUUAAAGGACAUGAUUUUAUUUGACAGACUUGGAAAUGCAAAUAAGGAAACUUCUGAUAUAAAUUGAUAGAGUUGGAAUCAUUAGCAAAUGAAGGGCUACGUGCAAGAAAGAACUGCUUCUUGCUUAUUUGCCACAUAGCAUCCAUCUAGGCAGGCCUCUGAAUAUUAUCCAGGGAGUCAGUAGCAUCACAGGGCUUUGUGAGUACAGUGUCCAAGAGCUACACUGGUGAAAAUAUUCCUGAGGUCGACCCCACCUUUGUGUCACCCUCCCUGUAUCAGUAGAUUUAUUUCAUAAGAGAAUGCAUGAAGAUUGCUUUGUUUUAGAGUAGAGAGGAGAAUUAUAAUUGCUCAUUUUAAAAGGCGAUUUAUGGAUUUAGAGCAACACUAUUGAAAAGAAUUUUCUGGGUUGAUAGAAAUGUUUCAUAUUUAUAUUUACAUUGUGUUGUCCUAUUGGGUAACUGCUGAGCACUUGAAAUAUGGCUGGUAUGGCUAAAGAACAGAAUUUUAAAUUUUACUUAGUUUAAAUACCCACAUGUAGCUAGUGGCCACCAUACUGAACAGCACAAACAGCACAGGUUUGAAGAAUGAGUGGGAAAGUGGUUAUUUACAUAAAUAUUUUCAAAACAUUCUUUUCUUCCCAAUGGCCUAGUGGUUCUCAUAUAGGAAAUAAGCCUGAAAAGCCACAAGAAUCCUUGCCCAAGAAUGGCUUGCAACCAUUUAAGUUUCACUCACCCCUUACAUGUUGAAUCGGAACUAAAAUUGCUUUUUAGCCAAUAAACAUGGAGGUGGUGGACUUUAGUACUGAAGCCAGUCUGAAGUCUAUCUGAUGGGUUCAGUCAUGUUAUUAAGUCCCUUGCAUGGACAUGUUCUUGUUAUCCCUGAUGGUGGCCCGUGGAAGACAUCUUGCUAUUUAACAUGAAAUAUGGGAGUAAAGAGAGUAGAGAUUCCUGCAUUGAGCCCAAAGAUAUUUGGCUUCCAGUUGCAUCGCUUGACAUCUGGUGGACGUAGUUUUCAUAUUGCUGGUAAAUUCUCCAGCUGGUGGUAGUGAUGGGCCAACAGAUACAGCUGCUCCUCUUGCCUCACUUGUAAAUUAUGUUUUUGACCUUCCUUAGAGAGAGUUAAUCCCUCUCCCUUUCUUCCUUCUUUGAGCCUGUGGCUAUAAAUGCCUUCCCUCCAAAACCAAGAAACCAACCAAACACAAAAAUCCCGCAACACUAAAGCCUUGGUUGCUGAAUUCUGUUGAUCAGAAAAAAAAAAAAAGAAAAGAAAAGAAAAAAAAAAUCACUUUCGUCGUAAAGCCUGGGACUUUAUU